This 625-nucleotide ribosomal RNA is filed under the name uncultured bacterium. RNAcentral describes it as "bacterial SSU rRNA". It matches the Rfam family "Bacterial small subunit ribosomal RNA", at positions 338 to 1414 of the family's 1533-position model. The record is from RNAcentral.
CCUACGGGAGGCAGCAGUAGGGAAUCUUCCGCAAUGGACGAAAGUCUGACGGAGCAACGCCGCGUGAACGAUGAAGGCCUUCGGGUCGUAAAGUUCUGUUGUUAGGGAAGAACAAGUGCUAGUUGAAUAAGCUGGCACCUUGACGGUACCUAACCAGAAAGCCACGGCUAACUACGUGCCAGCAGCCGCGGUAAUACGUAGGUGGCAAGCGUUGUCCGGAAUUAUUGGGCGUAAAGCGCGCGCAGGCGGUUUCUUAAGUCUGAUGUGAAAGCCCCCGGCUCAACCGGGGAGGGUCAUUGGAAACUGGGAAACUUGAGUGCAGAAGAGGAAAGUGGAAUUCCAAGUGUAGCGGUGAAAUGCGUAGAGAUUUGGAGGAACACCAGUGGCGAAGGCGACUUUCUGGUCUGUAACUGACGCUGAGGCGCGAAAGCGUGGGGAGCAAACAGGAUUAGAUACCCUGGUAGUCCACGCUGUAAACGAUGAGUGCUAAGUGUUAGAGGGUUUCCGCCCUUUAGUGCUGAAGUUAACGCAUUAAGCACUCCGCCUGGGGAGUACGGUCGCAAGCUGAAACUCAAANAGAGUAGACGCGUGAGACGUCGCCGACGGACGACGACGAGGGAGGAGG